AUAUAUGUAACGGAGUGAUAUAUUGCGUUUAUUAAAUUAUGACAGAAGUGACGCAACAGCGCACAGUAUGGCACCAGCUUUCCGCCGUAGUUCAGGCAGAGCUACCAAGGAAGUCACAGGUUAUUUUUGAGACUGAAAAGCCCCGUGACUUCACCUAUCCCUCCCGCCAUUGCAGGUAAUGUUUGUUUCCUUUUGGUUGAACUGUAUAUAGUUUUUCGUGUCGUUUUUCAUUUGGCUGUUAGUGUGGCUGGCGUGUUCCCGCGGUUUGUCGCGGCCGCCAUUAUUGUACAUUGCGCAGCUGUUCUGCUGCAUGUGAUGCGUUCAGCGGCAUCACGUAUGUGCGUUUUUUUUCCCUUUUUUUGUAAAUAGUUAAUAUACGAUCACCUAUGUUGUGUAUUUUGUUUUGUUGUGCAUUUUGUCUUGUUAUGGAUGAUGUAUUGUUCGGCAGAGCUACCAAGGAAGUCACAGGUUAUUUUUGAGACCGAAAAGCCCCGUGACUUCACCUAUCCCUCCCGCCAUACUGUGUUGCAGUAAUAAAAAAAGAGAGAAAAGCCA
Molecule: long non-coding RNA, 555 nt
Organism: Hippocampus comes (tiger tail seahorse)
Lineage: Eukaryota; Metazoa; Chordata; Actinopteri; Syngnathiformes; Syngnathidae
Exons: 2
Source: RefSeq, a predicted model, not a curated record